This 498-nucleotide ribosomal RNA is filed under the name uncultured bacterium. RNAcentral's name for it is "partial 16S ribosomal RNA". It matches the Rfam family "Bacterial small subunit ribosomal RNA", at positions 28 to 523 of the family's 1533-position model. The record is from RNAcentral.
GAUGAACGCUAGCGGCAGGCCUAAUACAUGCAGGUCGGACGGGAUUUGGGAGCUUGCUCCUAAUGAGAGUGGCGCACGGGUGCGUAACACGUAUGUAACCUACCUUAAUCAGGGGGAUAGCCUCUCGAAAGAGAGAUUAACACCGCAUAACAUAUUUUUAUGGCAUCGUAGAAAUAUCAAAUAUUUAUAGGAUUAAGAUGGGCAUGCGGAACAUUAGCUAGUUGGUAAGGUAACGGCUUACCAAGGCUACGAUGUUUAGGGGAUCUGAGAGGAUGGCCCCCCACACGAGUACUGAGACCCGGACCAGACUCCUACGGGAGGCAGCAGGAAGGAAUAUUGGUCAAUUGUCGCAAGCCUGAACCAGCCAUGCCGCGUGCAGGAAGACGGCCCUAUGGGUUGUAAACUGCUUUUGUACCGGAAUAAACCCUUUUACGUGUAAAAGGCUGAAUGUACGGUAAGAAUAAGGAUCGGCUAACUCCGUGCCAGCAGCCGCCGUAA